GGGGGUAUUGCCAAUCGAUUUACCGAUAUCUAAUAUAAUAGAAAAUACAUAUAUAAUAGAACUAAACUAUCUUGUCUAUAUACUUUCCUUCGUUCUGUUUCUAUCAUGGGCUUUACGAAAUUGGUUGGAUCAGAUAGAUAUCUCUUCACCAUAACCGUUUCAAUCUUAUCCUUAGUUCCUUAAUCAGGCAGCAGUAUUCCCAAUUCUAGGAAGAACUACAUCUUAGAUGAUAUGCUAAGAGCAUCAUUUUGACACCAGGAGCUUUCCUUCUUCCUCUUGUUCACAAUUCUCUUUGGUUUCUUCAAAAAUUCAAGACCCAAUAUAUGGGGGCAUGUCAUAACUCAAUCCUGGG
This 352-nucleotide long non-coding RNA is filed under the name Capsicum annuum. RNAcentral's name for it is "long non-coding RNA (CANN_LNC015579)". The record is from RNAcentral. Lineage: Eukaryota; Viridiplantae; Streptophyta; Magnoliopsida; Solanales; Solanaceae.